GGUGCGCGAGGGCACCCGGAAUGCGUUGUGCCGCUUCGUGUGCGGCAUCAGGGUCGCGGCCGUUGACCACGACCCGCGCACCG
This 83-nucleotide transfer RNA is filed under the name Mycolicibacterium gilvum. RNAcentral's name for it is "tRNA-Thr(cgt)". The record is from RNAcentral. Lineage: Bacteria; Bacillati; Actinomycetota; Actinomycetes; Mycobacteriales; Mycobacteriaceae.